UAAGUGAAGAGUUUGAUCCUGGCUCAGAGUGAACGCUGGCGGCAGGCCUAAUACAUGCAAGUCGAACGGCAGCACAGUGGAGCUUGCUCCAUGGGUGGCGAGUGGCGGACGGGUGAGGAAUACAUGGGAAUCUGCCCAGUCGUGGGGGAUAACGUAGGGAAACUUACGCUAAUACCGCAUGCGCCCUUCGGGGGAAAGCCGGGGACCUUCGGGCCUGGCGCGAUUGGAUGAGCCCAUGUCGGAUUAGCUAGUUGGCGGGGUAAAAGCCCACCAAGGCGACGAUCCGUAGCUGGUCUGAGAGGAUGAUCAGCCACACUGGAACUGAGACACGGUCCAGACUCCUACGGGAGGCAGCAGUGAGGAAUAUUGGGCAAUGGGGGAAACCCUGACCUAGAGACGCCGUGUGAAGGAAGAAGGUCUUCGGA
Molecule: ribosomal RNA, 425 nt
Filed under: Thermomonas sp.
Lineage: Bacteria; Pseudomonadati; Pseudomonadota; Gammaproteobacteria; Lysobacterales; Lysobacteraceae
Description: bacterial SSU rRNA
Rfam family: Bacterial small subunit ribosomal RNA
Source: RNAcentral